ACAGUGUGUUUAGAUGAAUUUCUGGCCGUAGAUUCGAACCCUAGAAAUUCUAGGGUUUCUAUAUAUUGGAUAGCGCGUUUCAACUUCAAGCUCUGGGUAUCAUUUUUCCACGAUCCGGACAGGUAGAUUUUUCAUUACCCUUUUCUCUGAAAGGAAUGUUUAGGUCUUGUGUGACUUUGUUUGUUGAGGAAUGCUUCUGCCCAAGGAGGAAAUUGAAAUAAUGAUAAGGGCUUAAAAGCCGCUGCAUCAUUUUCAGAUUAACCCAAAUACUCUGAUUCUGAGGGCCUGCUUUAUUCAAAAUUUUGUUUGAAUUGAUUAACCCUAGCUUUUGUAUUCUUUUGGCUUUUGAUUGCGAUUCAAGUGUGGAAAUCUGUAAUGAGGAGGAAGUAGGUUUGUAGUUUGGCCGAUUCCUGUUUAAACUGGAGGCUAUAACAUUAUGUAAGCCCUGCGGCUGGGUAUAAUACUAAAAGGGCGAAGGGGUUUCCAUGAGUAGAAGAUUUUAAUAAUGUUAAGAGGUCGAAGCUGUUUACUGGAGCCUGGAAUAGCAUAUUCUCCAAAACAGGGGCUCCGAAGCUUUAUUCAAUUUCUAAUCUCUUCUUUUAGAUCUUCGUUGGAUCUUUCUAUUUACUGUUGAUGCUUGUUUUUGCCCGCCUUUCCAAGCUGAUUAUAAGUGAUACCUGUAGAUGGUGGUUUGUGUCUUCACUGGUUAAUGCAUGUGGCUGCAGUGAAGGUGGUCUCAAUAAUGACGAUUAAAUUAGUUCAUUUUAAUAGUUGAUAUUAACAUAGCUUAGCUCCA
This is a long non-coding RNA of Cryptomeria japonica (Japanese cedar), 796 nucleotides long. RefSeq lists it as uncharacterized. The record is from RefSeq and is a predicted model, not a curated record. The transcript has 2 exons. Lineage: Eukaryota; Viridiplantae; Streptophyta; Pinopsida; Cupressales; Cupressaceae.